Drosophila subobscura is the source of this 791-nucleotide RNA transcript. RefSeq lists it as uncharacterized. Lineage: Eukaryota; Metazoa; Arthropoda; Insecta; Diptera; Drosophilidae. The transcript is spliced from 2 exons. The record is from RefSeq and is a predicted model, not a curated record.
AACUUUGCUCUGAACGUUUUCACGUCUAGAGGGAGUUUCCCCAAUUUCAGAGACAAACAAAUGUCGAUUCAGACUUCAAAUAUGUUAAAGCAACAAUAUUUUAAACAACAAAAGCAAAACGAAAGACAUGAUAGUACAUGAACUGAUAAAAAAGUUGUCUCCAAAUUGCCUUGAAUUACAAAAGAGCAAAGAAGAGGACGAGGAAGAAUGAGCAAACGCGGGAGAGUGAGAGAGCGGUCACAGAGAAGAUGCAAGGAAAAGACAGACGUCGAACAGUUUGAUGGAAGAACACACACAAGACAGACAUGAGUCAUCCGCGAGUGUUGUUUUCAUCCACAUUAAAAUUGUGUUUUUUGCGUUUGUGUAUAAUUGUGCGAUAAACGAAACUAAAUGUCUUUUAUAAUGUAAUUUCGGUAAUUUUUUGGCGCGUUUUUUGCUUUGGUUUUCACGCAUCAAUGCCGUUUAGCUAUUUUUGGCAUAGCGAUUCAUGCGACAGACAGAGACAGCCUCUGUUUGAGGUUCCAGGGGUGAGAACAGAAGCUGAGAAAAAGCGGUACAGACUGACAGCGGUUCAGAGGUGAGAAGAACCAACAACAGACUUUGUCUAGGGAGAUACCCCUCCCAACCCUCCUCUCAUGGCGCUGCCAAAAAUUUCAACAUGACUUUAUGUACAUAUAUUGUAUACGUGCGAUGGAAGAGAAAAUUUAUGUGUAGAUACAUUUUGGCCAGACGCUAGAUACACAAAAUGAAACGCCUGGCAAGGGGGCAGACACAGAAAUGACAUAGGCUAA